This 1410-nucleotide long non-coding RNA is filed under the name Salmo salar (Atlantic salmon). Its description in RNAcentral is "lncRNA (ENSSSAG00000120242.1)". Lineage: Eukaryota; Metazoa; Chordata; Actinopteri; Salmoniformes; Salmonidae. The record is from RNAcentral.
UUGAGGUGUUGGGAACACUGGGUCUGUAGUCUGUGUUGAGGUGUGGGGAACACUGGGUCUGUCUUACUGUGUUGAGGUGUGGGGAACACUGGGUCUGUAGUCUAUCUUACUGUGUUGAGGUGUGGGGAACACUGGGUCUGUAGUCUGUCUUACUGUGUUGAGGUGUGGGGAACACUGGGUCUGUCUUACUGUGUUGAGGUGUGGGGAACACUGGGUCUGUCUUACUGUGUUGAGGUGUGGGGAACACUGGGUCUGUCUUACUGUGUUGAGGUGUGGGGAACACUGGGUCUGUAGUCUAUCUUACUGUGUUCAGGUGUGGGGAACACUGGGUCUGUAGUCUGUCUUACUGUGUUGAGGUGUGGGGAACACUGGGUCUGUCUUACUGUGUUGAGGUGUGGGGAACACUUGGUCUGUAGUCUAUCUUACUGUGUUGAGGUGUGGGGAACACUGGGUCUGUAGUCUGUCUUACUGUGUUGAGGUGUGGGGAACACUGGGUCUGUAGUCUGUCUUACUGUGUUGAGGUGUGGGGAACACUGGGUCUGUCUUACUGUGUUGAGGUGUGGGGAACACUGGGUCUGUCUUACUGUGUUGAGGUGUGGGGAACACUUGGUCUGUAGUCUAUCUUACUGUGUUGAGGUGUGGGGAACACUGGGUCUGUAGUCUGUCUUACUGUGUUGAGGUGUGGGGAACACUGGGUCUGUAGUCUGUGUUGAGGUGUGGGGAACACUGGGUUUGUCUUACUGUGUUGAGGUGUGGGGAACACUGGGUCUGUCUUACUGUGUUGAGGUGUGGGGAACACUGGGUCUGUCUUACUGUGUUGAGGUGUGGGGAACACUGGGUCUGUCACUGUGUUGAGGUGUGGGGAACACUGGGUCUGUAGUCUGUCUUACUGUGUUGAGGUGUGGGGAACACUGGGUCUGUAGUCUGUGUUGAGGUGUGGGGAACACUGGGUCUGUAGUCUGUGUUGAGGUGUGGGAAACACUGGGUCUGUAGUCUGUUGAGGUGUGGGGAUCACUGGGUCUGUAGUCUGUCUUACUUUGUUGAGGUGUGGGGAACACUGGGUCUGUAGUCUAUCUUACUGUGUUGAGGUGUGGGGAACACUGGGUCUGUAGUCUAUCUUACUGUGUUGAGGUGUGGGGAACACUGGGUCUGUAGUCUGUGUUGAGGUGUGGGGAACACUGGGUCUGUAGUCUGUGUUGAGGUGUGGGGAACACUGGGUCUGUAGUCUGUGUUGAGGUGUGGGGAACACUGGGUCUGUAGUCUGUUUUGAGGUUUGGGGAACACCGGGUCUGUAGUCUGUCUUACUGUGUUGAGGUGUGGGGAACACUGGGUCUGUAGUCUGUCUUACUGUGUUGAGGUGUGGGGAACACUGGGUCUGUCUUACUGUGUUGAGGUGUGGGGAACACUGGG